Molecule: long non-coding RNA, 5570 nt
Organism: Diachasmimorpha longicaudata
Lineage: Eukaryota; Metazoa; Arthropoda; Insecta; Hymenoptera; Braconidae
Exons: 4
Source: RefSeq, a predicted model, not a curated record
UAAGUAUGAUUUUAUUGUGAUAAUGCAUGGGCGGGGACAAUCAUUAGUAUCAGUUGAAAAGUUUUUCGUUUAAACAGAAUGAAAAGUGAUGCUCGGGUACAUCGAAAGCGCAGAGAUUGACUCAGGCUUUCUGGAAUAUUUACUUAGGAUCGAGACCUCUUCAAACAUCUCUCCAUUAUGACUAACAAAAUCAUAAGCAGUUGUGAGUGAAAAUAGAUGUUAGACCCACCAGUUGAUUAUUAACCGGUGUCAGUGCACAUAGUAAAUGUUCAAAGGGUCUUCAGACAUUUAACGCUUUUAUUACAUGUUCGAUUUCGGCGUCUGCGACGCGAUCGCCAUCUUUCGACAGCUUGACUCAUUGUUUAGUUGAACAUUAAAAUUUGUCGUGAAUUGAUAUCAUUAUCGUGAUGUAUCGAAUCAGAGUAGAUUUUUCGUGGUAACGUGGACAGUGGUAUGAAUAUGGAAAUUCGUAUAUAGUUUUGUACGUGUUGUGUGAGUGUAAAAGUUAUGAGGAUACCAGUGUGAUCGCGAUGUCCUGUGAACUUCAUGUCAAAUACGUCAUUGCAGCGAAAUUGAAUUCCACAUCGAUUCUCAGUCACUCCGGAAUAUCUGAGAAAUCUGAAUGUUAAUUUCCUCCGGACAAUGGGACAUUCGUCAAUGUAACGCUAGUGAGAGGUCUCCAGUUGUGACGUCAUGAGAAUAUUGAAAUUUUGGAGAGACAGACGGUUGUGGCUUUAUUGCACGUGGGCAUCAGCUGCGUAUAGCAUUGAUAUUUCAUACUUGACGUUGAAAAUGAUGGAAUACCGAUAACUGAAAGUCCUGGAGGAAAAUCGUAACAAGAUAUGCAAAGAGACCCUUAUUUUAUAUAUCAGAGGAGUGUCUCGAGAUUUAUAUCAUUGGUAGAAAAUCGACAAUGGCACAUCGAUCGACAAAAUAGUGGAGAAUUAGAAAGCUGUGUCUACCGUUAACUUAUAUUUAUUCAAUAUAUAUACACCUGAUAGACUUGAACAUGGUACAGUACAGAAGGGGCCACACAUAGGAAGAUAAUUUUGGGCUGAGGAUAUACAGGAUAUACCAGAAACUAGUCAAUUAUGAUAGCGAAUAACACAACUAUUUUAUAAAAUGUAUAGACAUACAUCGAGUUGAUUAACGACUUUGUAUCAACGAUUUUUAUCAUCAAUCAUAUACAUGACCGUAAAGUGAGGCAUUGAAAUAUCGUGCCAACAAGCCAGCCCUUAUUCUGCGAACAUCAAAGAGAAGCAAAACCGAAAAACCACGGGAGGUUCAUUUUAUCAAGAGAAUCGAUAAAAAAAACUGGCAAGAAGAAACUGGGUAAUGAGCGAGGUCCUUUGAAAAUUCUUGAACUUCAACGAUUCCAACAUCUUCAGAGGAAUAGGGUUUUUCGAAAACAUUCUUCACAGUUACAGAAAAAAAUCCUUCAACAUAACAACCGCUGGAAUCGGUGCAAGGAAAUUUCAUGCCAGUAUUUAUCAAUAUUCGCCGAAUAGAAAAUAUUUUCCCGGUUUUCAGCUGACCUACGUUAUUUGGCUCUUUUGUUUCCAGUAACAUUCCUCGAAGCUGGAGUGACUGAACAAGCAUCACAUCAUUUCCGUUCAAGUGUUGUAGUUCAAAAUUUGGAAUGACACGGCAGUUGCAAAUUUCCCACUUUUUUGUAAUUUUGCGGAAUCUGAUGAUUCUAGGGCUUGUAAUUUAUUGACCAGCUGAGCUAAAGGUCUGGCCCUGCCUUUCACCAACUCUUGCAAUUUCCCAAGAAAAUUUUCGCCAAAAAAGGCUGAAUAGUCUGUUAGUGGAGCUUGGAAAUGUCUAACAUCAUCUGCAACAUGAGUCACGAGAUGCCAAUUCAUAGUUUGGCAGUCAGGUCCAUAAUAUGUGGGCAUUGAUAGAAAAAAGUCUUUCAGUAGCUCAUCUGCAUGAUCUACAUGAGAAACUGCUAAUUCUUUACUACAAAGAAUCCUACAUGCAACGUGAAAGUGCAAAAAAUGUCGAUAUAGAUGUUUCGACAAAACUUUUUUUAGAACGAUACUACCCAGGUAUAGUAAGAUGAAGCUAUAUUGAGUAGCCUUCCAUCGUCCUAUCAUCUCGAUGUCAAACACUUUUCUCUGAAACUCUGCUGGCACACAGGAUGAAAUUGAUGUCAGGCGUUUUCCAAAUGUAAUUUUUUCAGUGGCUUUUAAUCGACAGGAAUUAACUUCCACAAUCCAUUUGUUCAGUAAAAAUUUCAUAUCGUUCAAAUACAAUAAGUGCAUGACAUCCAAUGGUAAACUUCUAAUAGGAUCCAGAUGACGUAUGGUGAUCAGUGGACUGCAACUCUCACCUUUAUGGUGUUCUGGUUGUGUUUUUUCGAUGAAAGACUGUUUUGUACGUUUCGGACAAUCAAUUUCUGGAUAAACUCUCCUUUUAUUCACAUGAAUUCUCUUUACCGUACAUCUUUCGCAGCUGAAGUAGCCAGUUGGACCUUUUAUGCAUUUUAUAAACGCUCUGGCUUGACCAUUACAAAUUAUAGCUGGAAUUUCAACUUUGUAUGAAGCUUCUCCAAUCGUCACACCAUUUUCUAUCAAUUCAUUUGCUUCUGUUACAAAAUCCUUCAUAAAAUCAUCCACACUAUCAGGCUUCGAAUUUCCAUAAUAUAUAGCAACAGCAAAUGGGGUAGCAGAAUAAUUAGGAUGGUGGAUUUUAGCCAGAAUUGGCCACCAUUAACCUCGAGAAGUUGUAAAUAAACUGGCACCAUCAAUAUGGAUGUACAAUUUUAUUAUUUUUUCAUGAUAUAUAUUCACUGUAACACGAUUUAGUAAGCUAUUGGUUAUUCCCAAGUAAAUGUACUGACCAAUGUCUUUUGAUUUUGCAACCAUUGGUCGUGAUUUGAUAGAAUGUUGAAAUCCAAGUAACUGAUGAGCAGUUGUUGGAAGAUCUUCAUAAUUUUCAGUUCUCAACAGCUUCAACAGCUCAGUCACUGCACGUAGAGAAAUGCUGGAAAUAUUAUCCAGGGCCCAUUGGCGAAGCUUUUCUGUCAUUGUAACAUUUGGAGGCUCAGUUUUUUCCUCAUUCUUUUCUAUCGCAGACACAUCCUGAGAAUUAUGGGAGUUCUCACACUGAGUUGAGAAUGUUGUUUCAUCAUCAGGUUCAUAGUUCUCGAAAGUAUUAUCGUCAAGACCAAUGACAGAGCUGCUCGAAUCAUUAUCGCCAAUGCCCACGUCGGAAUCAGUGUCUUUUAAAUUAAUAGAACAUAUUUCACUUUCUUUUUCAAUUCGUUGAUGCUGCACCAGAUCUAGCUUCUGCUUCAUUUCAUUGUCGAAAAUUUUAACACAAUUAUUUGUUUGAUCUGCACUCUGGAAGACAAUUGUAUUUCCUUCUAGUCGUUUUCUGAUACGAUAUUUCUUCAAUCGGUAAACGCUUCCUGAUUUCUUAACCUUGGUCAUUUUGAUACUGAUUAUCGACUUCACUCGUGCUUCACACUCGUGAUUUUUUAACCUGAAAAACUUGACUCCUUCAUUUGUUUGCAACGAAUCUAUCGGGAAAUAUUCGAUAAUUUUGAAGCACUUGUGGUAUUAUAUGUGAUUAUUUUUUUCAUCCCAAUUUCAACCAAUCAAAUGGUGGCAUUUCCCGUCACGUGGUACAAGUAAGAGAGUUUUACUUCGGAUAUUUUUCGGAUAUUUCCCUGUUUGUUGCUAAGCAAUGAAAGUAUCCGAUAAACAAUUUGUAGGCGUUUCAAACCCCAAAACUGUCAUUACAAAAAAUCAAGUUCAAAGACUUUACCUCGACAAGAGCAGAUUUGGAGGAAUCCUUGGACAUUAUUGAUCAAAAAAUUAAAAAAAAUGUGCCUAAUAAUACGGUGAAGACAAAGGCCACAAUUUGGAAACAAUUCUCUGCAUUUUGUGCAGACAGAAAAUAUACUCUAGAAGCCCCAACUACGAGUGAAAAACUAUACCAUAUGACGCGAAAUGCCACAUAUUUAAUUGCUUGAAAUUGGAAUGAAACAAAAAAUCCAGCCAAAUACCCCUCGACCUUCAAAAUUAAUCGAAUAUUUCCCUCCAGUUUCCCUGCGUAGCACCGAUCGGGAUAAGUUUCGCAGAAAAACCCUCGCGCUCGGGAUUUUUAACCUGCAAAAUUUAUCCCACUCGUUGCUACGCAACGAAACUCUCGGGGAAUAUCCGAUAAUUUUGAAGGUCUUGGGCUAUUCCUACUGAAUAACUCUUUCAUUAUCAAAAAUUUUCAUCGCGCGUACAUGAAGUUUGAUGAAUGGUUGGGCUUUCGCUAUUAAAAAGAAUUGUUAAAAAUUUUUAAUGGGAAAUGUUUGUUUUGAUGACAAGUUUCAAUGCAAAUUACACACUUUCCCAUCAAUGGAAGUUGAGAAUAAUUUUUUAUACAAUUAUCGUUCGAAAUAACUACCAGUUGCUGGCAAUUUUCUUCUCGUUAGUUCAUGGUACAACAAGGCUUCUAUUGAUUCCUCCGUUUGAUGUGGAUGGUCUGGAAACUCUGGACGAAUUUAAUUAAAAGUUUUCCAUAUUCAGUUACAAAGUGAUUGCAUUGAAUAUUCUGAUUGAUCCGAUAAUUGCGGUUGAAUUUCACUUCUGACUUUUGAAGAAAUGAAUAUUUUCCCAAAAUUAACCUUAUUGCACAUCAAUCGAUCUCAUCAUAAAAGACGAUGAAUCUUGGAUGGUCCAUUGUCUUUAAAGAUACAAACAAAGGACAUGUCGGUUGUCCUUUGAGAAAAAGAGUGCGCUUCCUACUUCCUCUUUUAAUCUAUACCAUCUCAAUCUCCUCGAAUUACUCCUCCAAUCUUUUCCAAUUUCCGCAAGGAAUUCCUCUCCAAGUAAUAUAAAGAGAAAUCCAAUCUCUUAAUUUCCAAUCUCUUUUCCUCUCAAGCAAUAAAUAAUUCAUCAUGUCAUCAUAUACCCAUUAGGAAUAUUGGAAAGACUAAGGCUCCACAAUUUUUCGAGGGGAAUUUCAUAGGGUAGCCGACAAUUUUGAAUUUAUUCACCUAACGAAGGAUAGGCCGCGCAGGAUGAGUGUUGAUGGAUGACAAAUUAGUCGGAAAUGGAGAAGACUCCCGGUAGCUCAAUUAGAACAGUAACAGACUCCUAAAUUUUUUUAAGGGCCAGAUAAAAAAUUAUUACACAUAAAAUACAAAAAAAUUAAGUAUCUCUCCCAUAAUGAACAAUACAAUGUUAUUCAAAAUGUCUAUAAAAAAUCCUUUCUGGGAACUGAUAACACUUAAUAAACUAGAUAGUUCUCAGGUGAAGGUUUAUCUAUCCAAUAAAUUUAUAUUCAUGAAAAUUCCAAAAAGAGUUCCAGAUGUUUUUAAAUAUUUGCAAACAUGAUCUAUUUUUUAAACUAAAAACUCGGUUCCAGAAGGAAGAAUAACAGUCUGAUUGGCUGAAACGUCCAUCGACGUCCAUCAGGACAUCUCCAAAUUAUUUCGAGACUUAAUUUCUUUGAAAUUCACAAUUAUUGUGCUGGGAAAAUGAAAUUAAAUGGAACUCAAUGGAAUGAAAUUAAAUGGAAUUAAAUAAUGACCUUCUCUUUCUAUCCACAAUGGCCUCAAUUCAUUU